UACGUAGGGUGCGAGCGUUAAUCGGAAUUACUGGGCGUAAAGUGUGCGCAGGCGGCUUCGCAAGUCGAGUGUGAAAUUCCCGAGCUUAACUUGGGAAUUGCGCUCGAAACUACGGAGCUGGAGUGUGGCAGAGGAAGGUGGAAUUCCACGUGUAGCGGUGAAAUGCGUAGAGAUGUGGAGGAACACCGAUGGCGAAGGCAGCCUUCUGGGCCAACACUGACGCUCAUGCACGAAAGCGUGGGGAGCAAACAGG
RNAcentral lists this ribosomal RNA (253 nucleotides) under uncultured bacterium. Its description in RNAcentral is "partial 16S ribosomal RNA". It matches the Rfam family "Bacterial small subunit ribosomal RNA", at positions 524 to 776 of the family's 1533-position model. The record is from RNAcentral.